RNAcentral lists this ribosomal RNA (373 nucleotides) under uncultured bacterium. RNAcentral's name for it is "bacterial SSU rRNA". It matches the Rfam family "Bacterial small subunit ribosomal RNA", at positions 525 to 896 of the family's 1533-position model. The record is from RNAcentral.
ACGUAGGGAGCAAGCGUUGUCCGGAAUCAUUGGGCGUAAAGCGCGCGUAGGCGGCCCUGUAAGUCCGCUGUGAAAGUCAAAGGCUCAACCUUUGAAAGCCGGUGGAUACUGCAGGGCUAGAGUCCGGAAGAGGCGAGUGGAAUUCCUGGUGUAGCGGUGGAAUGCGCAGAUAUCAGGAGGAACACCAAUAGCGAAGGCAGCUCGCUGGGACGGUACUGACGCUGAGGCGCGAAAGCGUGGGGAGCGAACAGGAUUAGAUACCCUGGUAGUCCACGCCGUAAACGAUGGGCACUAGGUGUGGGAGGUGUCGACUCCUCCCGUGCCGUCGCUAACGCACUAAGUGCCCCGCCUGGGGAGUACGGCCGCAAGGCUA